Molecule: long non-coding RNA, 2173 nt
Organism: Eriocheir sinensis (Chinese mitten crab)
Lineage: Eukaryota; Metazoa; Arthropoda; Malacostraca; Decapoda; Varunidae
Exons: 3
Source: RefSeq, a predicted model, not a curated record
AGGGUCAGACAAGGACAAUAAGUCACCCGCUCUCCCUCAUGACCUGAGAUAGAUAUUAAUGGAUGAUAACCUGUAGAGGAUCACCUAAACUGCACUCUUACACUUGGCAUGUUUGGGGGUUGCGGAAAAUCUAACUCUCUCUCUUAUUUCCUGGAGUACGAGACCAAGAGCCUCUCCACCCCGCCCACCAAAUCACACCUUGCCUGCCUGACAUCCCCAAGUCCUCCCCCCACACACCCACAAUGCCUUACACAGCAGUUCACUUACAUGCCAAGCUUACCACAAGGAUUUACAAAAAUUAAACUAACCAAAUCUAACAUCUGGAUAUAAGUAGACCUGGAACUGUACACGGAGCCACUGACAUGAGAGCCUGAAGUAUAGGAGAUUUGAAAGCGUUGCGGCAGAAGUCUGGGGUGGCAGUAAUUAGGUUAUUUUAGGUUUACUUAGGUUAGGUUAGUUUAUAGCAUUGUGUGCCUUCAUAUUAUGGUCAAAGGGAGUACAUUUUAGAAAUUGGGGAGUCAGGGGGGCAGCAACAGCAGUCCAGGAGCAAUAAAAAUUGUUAGUUUAGCUUUGCCAAGGUGAGGUUAAUUAAUAGAAAUGUGCACCUUCAAAAUUAGGUUAGUUUAGGUUCGCCAAGGUUAGGUUAAUUAAUAGAAAUGUGCACCUUCAAAAUUAGGUUAGUUUAGGUUCGCCAAGGUUAGGUUAAUUAAUAGAAAUGUGCACCUUCAAAAUUAGGUUAGUUUAGCUUUGCCAAGGUUGGGUUAUUAAUUGAAAUGUGCACCUUCAAAAUUAGGUUAGUUUAGCUUUGCCAAGGUUGGGUUAUUAAUAGAAAUGUGCACCUUCAAAAUUACGUUAGUUUAGGUUCAUCAAGGUUAGGUUAAUUAAUAGAAAUGUGCACCUUCAAAAUUACGUUAGUUUAGGUUCAUCAAGGUUAGGUUAAUUAAUAGAAAUGUGCACCUUCAAAAUUACGUUAGUUUAGGUUCAUCAAGGUUAGGUUAAUUAAUAGAAAUGUGCACCUUCAAAAUUACGUUAGUUUAGGUUCAUCAAGGUUAGGUUAAUUAAUAGAAAUGUGCACCUUCAAAAUUACGUUAGUUUAGGUUCAUCAAGGUUAGGUUAAUUAAUAGAAAUGUGCACCUUCAAAAUUACGUUAGUUUAGGUUCAUCAAGGUUAGGUUAAUUAAUAGAAAUGUGCACCUUCAAAAGUAGGUUAGUUUAGAUUUGCCAAGAGUUACUUUAAUUAAUAGCAAUGUGCAUCUUCAAAAUUAGUUUAGUAUAGGUUCGCCAAGGUUAGGUUGAUUAAUAGCAAUGUGCACCUUCAUAUUAUGGUUAGAGGGAGUAUAUUUUAGGAACUGGGGAGUCGGGGGGCAGCAACAGCAGUCAAGAGCAGUAAAAAAUAGGUUAGUUUAGAUUUGGUUAAAUAAAAUUAGUUUUUAACCCUAUAUAGCUUCAUGUUAUAGUUAAAAGGUAUGUAUUUUAAGAAUGGUAGAGUUGAGGGGGGGUGCGGCAGAAGUAUGGGGCAGUAUCAAUUUAGUUAGUAUACUUUUGCUUGGGGCUAGAUUGAUUUAAAACAAUGUGUGCUAUAGUAUUAUGAUUAAAAGGCGUAUAUUUCAAGAAUAGGAGGGUCGAGGGGGAUGCGGAAGAAGUCUGGGGCAGCAAAAAUUAGGUUAGAUUAGUUUAUACCAAUGUGCGCCUUCAUAUUAUGGUUAAAGAGAAUAUAUUUGAGGAAAGGGAGAGUCGAGAGUGCAGCGGCAGAAGUCUGGGGCAGCAAAAAAUUAGGUUGGUUUAGAUUUACUUCAUUUAGGUUAGUUUAUAGCAAUGUGCGCCUUCAUGUUAUGGUUAAAGAGAGUUUUAGGAAUUAGCGAGUCAGGGGAAUGUAGAGGCAGUCCAGGGCAGCAGUAGUUAGGUUAGUUUAGAUAUGGUUCGGUUUAGUUAGUUUAUAGCAAUGUGAACCUUCAUAUUAUAGUUAGAGUGUUAUAGGAAUUAGCGAGUCGGGGGAAGAUAGCAGCAGUCCAGGGCAGCAGUAGUUAAGUUAGUUUAGAUUUGGUUAGGUUAGUUUAUAGCAAAGUGUGGCUUAAAACUAUGCUAGAAGGGUGUGUAUUUAAUCUUUCCUCCUCUUCCUAUUUUUCUUAACUUUCUCUAUUUUCCUCAUUCUCUUAACUUCCUGUCUGUAUCUA